Molecule: long non-coding RNA, 1347 nt
Organism: Juglans microcarpa x Juglans regia
Lineage: Eukaryota; Viridiplantae; Streptophyta; Magnoliopsida; Fagales; Juglandaceae
Exons: 3
Source: RefSeq, a predicted model, not a curated record
AUAAAGUGACUUUCAGCCCACUACACAAAAGUAGCGCAGUACACAGAAAGUUAAGAGUUAUCUCAUGGGUGGAAAAGGCGCAAGAGAGCCUUGUAUUCAGACUGACCUUUAAGCACCAAGAGAGCCCUUUGAGGUGAACUCAGAAUAUCUCACACAAAUAUGGUGUUGGUUGUUUGCAAACUAAGCUUAUAAUCUGGUGAAGAGGCCAGUUUAGAGAUGAUUGCAAAUCAUCAACUUAUUUCACAAAUCUCUUAUAUGGAUUUGCACAGUUUAAUAGGAGGUGAAAUGACCUUAUUUCACCUCGGUAAUAGAGCUCAAACUGGGGUUUAAUAAACUGACCUUAUGUCAUCUUGGUGAAGGUAAGGAAAAUAUGAGGAGAUAGACGUGGAAUUGCAAGGGAAAUCCAUAUACCCAGUUUUGUUCUUUGUGCAUGAAAUGAUACUAAGUAUAUUUAUCAACUUGUCUACAACCAUAAACCAAACAUGAAUGAUUUGCAGAAGUUUUUCUUGUUGCCAUUCAGAUUUCAUGAAAAAAGGUUUCUUUAUGGGUCUACCAGCAUGCCUUAAUCAUAUUGGGGUUCCAAAGAUUGUUUUAUUACCCACAUCAUCCAGCUUUAUCAUAGAGGAAGAAAGAAAGUAGACUUUAUGGGCCUGUAGAAAUGUUGCAUUUUCACAAUGAUUUGUGUAGUGGUUUAUAUAUCUAAUUUCACAUGACAGAAGCUUUUACAAUACAGUUGCAUAUAGAAUUGAUUUCCAAGCAUUUGAUCCAACAAUUUGCCAUGAGAGGAACAAGAAGAGGACUUGGUGGACAUGCCUGAAUGACACAAACUCGCAUACGCGCUAGUGAAGGGUGCACAUGGAGUGGUCCGACACUUCAGUCGCAACCGUGUAGGUGGACACGAAUGGUUGAGCAAAACUCAUCAUCGGACGACUCAACACAGCCACCGGAUAUGGUUUUGGGUACUGAGUUUCCUGAAAUUAGCAAUGAUCCAAAUACAAGGCCUGAGAACAAUGGUAGAAAGCUGCUCUCAUAUGUUGAUAUAAAUCACCCAAGUGGAAUUUUUUGAUGCGACACUACAAGAGCCUGCUGGAUGCAACAUAUGUGGAUUCACUCCCAGGUUUAAAUUAAUGUAUAGCCAUUUUGGUUAAUGUAUAACCAUGUUGACAACAAUUCCAAUGAGAUGCACACAUUCUUCAUCAAGUGUUUAGUGUCACUAAAUGGAGAUAGGAAUUUAAGUAAUUGCAUGACAAUUAGAAGGAACCUGCUAUAAUGUAUGAUGUGAAAGUAAAUGAAAUGUUCACAUUCAAGCUUUUUUGUAUGAAAUCUGGAUGGCAAUGUACAUGAUAA